AGGGGUGUAGUUCAGCUGGUAGAGCGUCGGUCUCCAAAACCGGAUGUCGUGGGUUCGAGUCCCUCCGCCCCUG
This 73-nucleotide transfer RNA is filed under the name Asticcacaulis sp. AC466. It matches the Rfam family "tRNA". Rfam says of the family: Transfer RNA (tRNA) molecules are approximately 80 nucleotides in length. Their secondary structure includes four short double-helical elements and three loops (D, anti-codon, and T loops). Lineage: Bacteria; Pseudomonadati; Pseudomonadota; Alphaproteobacteria; Caulobacterales; Caulobacteraceae. The record is from Rfam by way of RNAcentral.